UUUAUGGAGAGUUUGAUCCUGGCUCAGGAUGAACGCUGGCGGCGUGCCUAAUACAUGCAAGUCGAGCGAACGGACGAGAAGCUUGCUUCUCUGAUGUUAGCGGCGGACGGGUGAGUAACACGUGGAUAACCUACCUAUAAGACUGGGAUAACUUCGGGAAACCGGAGCUAA
Molecule: ribosomal RNA, 171 nt
Filed under: Staphylococcus aureus
Lineage: Bacteria; Bacillati; Bacillota; Bacilli; Caryophanales; Staphylococcaceae
Description: partial 16S ribosomal RNA
Rfam family: Bacterial small subunit ribosomal RNA
Source: RNAcentral